RNAcentral lists this ribosomal RNA (301 nucleotides) under uncultured bacterium. Its description in RNAcentral is "partial 16S ribosomal RNA". It matches the Rfam family "Bacterial small subunit ribosomal RNA", at positions 509 to 809 of the family's 1533-position model. The record is from RNAcentral.
CAGUCGCCGCGGUAAUACAGAGGGUGCGAGCGUUAAUCGGAUUUACUGGGCGUAAAGCGUGAGUAGGCGGCUUCUUAAGUCGGAUGUGAAAUCCCUGAGCUUAACUUAGGAAUUGCAUUCGAUACUGGGAAGCUAGAGUAUGGGAGAGGAUGGUAGAAUUCCAGGUGUAGCGGUGAAAUGCGUAGAGAUCUGGAGGAAUACCGAUGGCGAAGGCAGCCAUCUGGCCUAAUACUGACGCUGAGGUACGAAAGCAUGGGGAGCAAACAGGAUUAGAUACCCCAGUAGUCCCUGUCUCUUAUAA